RNAcentral lists this ribosomal RNA (433 nucleotides) under uncultured bacterium. Its description in RNAcentral is "partial 16S ribosomal RNA". It matches the Rfam family "Bacterial small subunit ribosomal RNA", at positions 29 to 507 of the family's 1533-position model. The record is from RNAcentral.
AACGAACGCUGGCGGCAUGCCUAACACAUGCAGGUCGAACGAGACCUUCGGGUCUAGUGGCGCACGGGUGCGUAACGCGUGGGAACCUGCCCUUAGGUUCGGAAUAACUCCCCGAAAGGGGUGCUAAUACCGGAUAAUGUCUUCGGACCAAAGAUUUAUCGCCUUUGGAUGGGCCCGCGUUGGAUUAGCUAGUUGGUAGGGUAAAAGCCUACCAAGGCGACGAUCCAUAGCUGGUCUGAGAGGAUGAUCAGCCACACUGGGACUGAGACACGGCCCAGACUCCUACGGGAGGCAGCAGUGGGGAAUAUUGGACGAUGGGCGAAAGCCUGAUCCAGCAAUGCCGCGUGAGUGAUGAAGGCCUUAGGGUUGUAAAGCUCUUUUACCCGGGAUGAUAAUGACAGUACCGGGAGAAUAAGCCCCGGCUAACUCCGUG